Molecule: long non-coding RNA, 659 nt
Organism: Amphiprion ocellaris (clown anemonefish)
Lineage: Eukaryota; Metazoa; Chordata; Actinopteri; Pomacentridae
Source: Ensembl
CUAAAAUGUAAAAGAAUUUACAAAAAAGAAGGUUUUUUUUUUUUUUUUUUUAAAAAAGAUCACAAGUAGUGGAUAAUGCAGUUUAUUUCUGUGACAGUCUCUACAGCACUGACACCGUACGUCCCAUCAGUCCAACCAAGGUGUUUGAAUUUUCAUCCAUCCUCUGGAUGUUCUGGAGCAUAGCAGUGGUCAGGUCUUGGUCUCUGGAUGUUCUGGAGCAUGGCAGAGGUCAGGUCUUGGUCUCUGGAUGUUCUGGAGCAUGGCAGUGGUCAGGUCUUGGUCUCUGGAUGUUCUGGAGCAUGGCAGUGGUCAGGUCUUGGUCUCUGGAUGUUCUGGAGCAUGGCAGAGGUCAGGUCUUGGUCUCUGGAUGUUCUGGAGCAUGGCAGAGGUCAGGUCUUGGUCUCUGGAUGUUCUGGAGCAUGGCAGAGGUCAGGUCUUGGUGUCUCCUCAACUGUUCCUCUGACCUCUCCAGAUACUGCAGCAGAUCCACAGUAGCAUCCCGCUUCCUUUUUCCUGCAUAAAAGCACCCAAAAAGGUAUUAGUUGUUAGUAAUUACUUUCUAUAUUCAUAAACACAGUUAAAGUAAAUGUUCUGUUUUGUGAUUUUAGGAUGGGCUGAAAGUUAACAUAUUGAUCAUGUUGUUGUCCACACAGUCUAAA